GUGUAGUCAGAAUGACUUUACAUGGGAGAAAUGUUAUUAUCAAGGAUCUAAAAAGUAAUGAAGUUCAAACAGAAACUGAAAAUACAGGCUACUGGUUUUAAAUUUGAUGUUUUAUAUCUAGAGCAAAUGCACAAAACCCAACAGGAGGAACAAACCAAAAAGGCAUGGGAUUUGCUUCAAGCUCUUAAUCUCUAUCAGCCAAUGAAUGCUCUUGCUCACUUUGCUGAUUCUUUCUGACUCUUUUAGGUAGAUCUUUCCAGGAUUCAAGCCCUAUUUAUUUGUCUGUCUCACUUCAUUUUUACUUUCAGCUACUGCUUCUUCAAAUAGCUCUGUCAAAGACCCUUCUAUUUCUAUAGUUAGCAUUUCUGCAUGUUUACAAGCAUGUCCCUAUGCUUGGUUUUAGAAACAGAAGAAGUAUACCAAUGUUCUUCCAAAAGAAGACACUGCUUUUACAUCUGCUCCCAGUGGGGCAACAUACAACAGAUAGAAAGUCAAUUAGGCUGAACUGGAUAUUUGUAUCCAGGUGCAGGUAGUGAGGGCUGCAGGGUUGGCGUUUGUGAAAAGAGGCCAUCGUCUUCUCCAUGUUGGGGACAAGACAUUCCAUCUGGUUCCAGUGGCUCCCAAAUGGCCCACUAAAGGAGACAGUUGAGGCCAUCAGCCACAUGGAACACAGGUGUGGCACCUCUGUGAAAACGUGUUUAAGAAAGAGCAAAAUGCCAGGCAGUACAAUGAGGAGUGAGGAAAAAAGGCAUGAGGAGCAAAGCUGUGAACGGCAAGGUCAGUGAAGACAGAAGAAAAGGGAGAGUUGCUCCAGGUGCCAAGGCAGAAAUUCCACGGCAGCACAUGAAGAGGACCAUGCUGGAUAUCUGCUCUGCAGCACGUGGAGGAUCCCAUAACGGAGCGAGCAGAUAUUUUGAGAAGGAACUGCAGCCUGUGGAGAAUCCACUCUGGAGCAGGGGAAAUACGUGAGGAGGAAGGAGCUGCAGAGAGGAGCAACUUAAACUGGCCCCAAACCUCCAUUACCUACUUCCCUGUUUGGCCCAGUGAAAGAGUGGAGGUAGAGCAAUUGGGAGGGAUGGAGUGAAAUCGAGCUUGUGCAAGAACCGGUAGGGGAUGGUGAUAUUUUAAUUUGUCUUUGUUUCUCACUGUCCAAACCUAAUUUUUUUUUCAAUAAAUUAAAUUAAUUUUCCCCAAGUUGAAUCUCUUUUGCCGAUGAUGUUAACUGGUGAAUGAUCUCCCUAUCUUUACCUUGAUACAUUAGCUUUUUCAUCUUAUUUUCUCCCUCUCUCAUGUACAAGGAGGAUGAGUGAGAGACAGUUUAGCUCAGUGUCUGGAGGCUGGCCAAGGUCAACCAACCACACUAGCAAAUGAGGAAUAUUUGGGCAAUGGUUUUGCCAUGCUUUUGGAAGUACGCUGUUUUGGGUUGCAAUCAUCUAGAGAAUGGAAGAAAAUGGUCAAGACUGAUGAGAGCAAAAAAUGUCAGGAAUGCACUCCCUUGCAAAAAGUAAUACUGUUUGGUGUGGGACACCGUGGCAUUGCUCCAAGUAGGGGCUGCAAAUAUCUGUAGAAAGAAGCUCAAAAGUGGGCUGACACUAAGUGAAUGAGAAGCUAUUAUUAGAUCCCAUUGAAGAUCUUGAAGUAUGGCUGGAAGAAAGUGGAUCCUUAUGGCUAGGGGAUUGUCCAUAUGAAAAUGGCAGCACCUUGGUUCCUCAGUAGAAAAGAAAAGUACCUCUUGAUAGCUUGUAAAAUGUAGGUUUCAUGUGGCACUUCCACACCGAAGACACUGUGUUGCAGAAUUGUACAGUAUGAAUUAGUUUCUCAUCACUCUUUUGCCACUAUGUGCAGCGCACUUCUGAAGCCUACUGUCAAUUCAUUCACUAAGUAUCCAUAUACAUAUACCAUUAUUCAUGUGAUUGAUUCAUUUAAGUAACUCAGUUGGGUAGACCUGUGUGAAACGAGUAUUCAAUUAAACCUGGUUUUAAUCUCAUUCAGAUAUUCAAAUAAGCUAAAUCUUUGGCUUGAUCAUUUGUGAAAUAGGCUCUUUUAUGGAUGUAAAGUGGCUUUUCACAAUGGGUAAGCUCUGAUCUCUGAUCCACACAUGUGUAACAACUAGUAGUAGCAUAAUCUGAGAAGCUAGUGACAGUAUCUGCACUGAACUGGUGUUCCACUGGGACUUCUCACUCUUCAAAACAUCAUUAGACCAGACAUGCUUGUCUUGCAUGUCUGUGCUUGAAGAUAAUGAACAAGCAGCAUUGAAAUGUGGAAUAGUAGUUCCUAGCACACCUGACCUUGACUUUCUUUUCUGAAAUACUGGAAUACAGUCGGUAAAUGUGGGCUGAUAUUUUUAGCUUUUUAGGGGAUUUUUCAUCUCACCAAUAUUUUGUAUAGCGAACUUCAAGCACUCAUUUGAAAAUUUCUGAAGGCACUACUUUUUAAAAUCAAGUCCUUCCAGACUUCUUAAACUAGGUUCUUCGCUUACACUGGAGAUUCACCAUGUCAUCAGUAAAUGUUAGCUAUAUAGACUGAAAUAAAUAUGUGAAGUAUCGGGAUGGUACUUGUUUCGGAUAAAUAAGACCAAAGAUAUGGUUACAGGUUGAACAAGGGAAAGUCACUUUUCUAGAUAUGACUUCAUUGUGUUAGGUGAAAUGCUUGUCUUUCCAGUACUACAUUCAGCAGUGACUAGAUAGGAAAGCUGUCUACAAAAGCAUGGGAAGAAACUACCUGGUUUGGUUUCUCCUUAUUUCUAGAAAAUAUGAUCUAACUCGGAGAGUGUGUUUGUGAUCAUCUCAGAAUGCUUAUUAGAUGACCUAAUCAGAUAAUAUUAUCCCGUGUUUAGUGUAAUUGAAUGGAGUCUGUUUGCUCCCCAUCCAAGAGGGUGGGCUAAGGUAUUUCACUAAGACGAAAGGCAAGUCAUGUUGUAGAGACUGUGAUUGAUAGAUGACACAGGUAGAUAGAGGGCAAAACACCUCUGAGUGUACCUCUUUCCGGCAGAUAUGACAGACAAGGGUGCUGUUACUAUUGCAUUCACUGAAGCUGAUAGGAGGUUACAUGUUCAGUGAGAGCUGGACUGAUAACAGGGCUGAAAAUAAAUAAAUAAAAUACCUCACUUGCAAAACUAAACUGAAAAUCCAUCAGAUCUCAGUUGAAGGAUGAACAGAUCAUUGCAAUGACCUAGCCUGAACCAGAUAACAGGCUAUUGCUUCAGAAAUAGUUAAUAUUAAUAUCAAUUUCCAUUUCAGCUAUACAUUUCUGUAAUUCAGUUAUUCUUAGAGAUAUCUUCUGCUCAUAAAUGGGGAACACUCCUACAUAAGCAAUAAAAAAGCAUUAAGAAAACCAAGCACCAUAAAUCCUUUUUUAGUAUACAGAGGACAGAUCCUGCAAUUUUUUUCUGUUUGUUUGUUUGCUUGUUUGUUUAGGGUUUUUUAUGAGAGUUGUUGUAUACAUUAUUUUAAAGAUUAGUUUAUAUUUUUUCUUGGUGAAAAUAGAUGUAGAGAGAUGAAAUAUGACACAAACCAGAGUAACUUCAUCAAUUAAGGUGAGAAUCCUUGCAGCUUUUUGUUCAUCUACUAUUGUGGGGAAGUCAGGAAAAGAUAAAAGAAAAUUUAAGAAAAGAAUCCUUCUUUUCCAACCUGAAUGAUUCUGUGAACUAUUUUUAUACCACAUUUCAUUUCCAUUUGGUGGACGUGGGGCGUGCUCUUCAGCAAAGAAUCCAUUUGCCAUCAAGAUUAAUGAGACUUGAUGAUGCAAGAUGAAGGAAUAGCUUUGGCACGGACAUCUCCUCACUGGUAUGGCUGAGGCACUGCAUGUGUUGCAAGUCUGAGGAGAGUUUCCUUCUCUGUAAGUUGUACCUGAUAUGGUUUUCAAAGAUUAGAAAGGUCAAGAAGCAAGUAGGCAAAUGAACAAACAAUGUAACACCUGAAUCUGUGAAAACUAUCCACAGAUAACUGUCUUCUUCCUUCCUACAGAAUCCUGGAGAAUUCCUGUUGGUCACUGCAGGUCUCCCUGGCUGGAUUAUUAGAGCUAUAUUUAAAAGUCUUCUAUCCUUGAAAAAGAAAGUUUCUUUAGUUUCAUUUGGUUGAAACACAUCCAUAUUACUUAUUGUGCUGCAACAUAUUCCAAUAAGUCAGACUUCAGAUUUUUUUCCUAUGGAAGAUCUGGAGAAGAACCAUUUUCUGGCUGACUGAAACAGCCUUUCAGAGGAAUCUGUGAAUAGAGAGCAUGUGCAGACCCUGCAGCAGUACUAUUUGGUUAUACAUGGUAACCACCACACCCACAGCCUGUCUCAUGGAAAUGGUUGCUUUUCCUCAGAAAGGUAAUCAUGAGCUGGCAACUAUGGGACAUCAGCAAUCAAUGAGACCAGCAGUGAACAUUAGUAGCACCUCUGCUGACAUCAGAAAAGAUCUCCCAGUAGAAAACUGGACCCCAAAUUCAUUCAUGUCUUUGAAUUGAAAGCUCAGAGCAGCAUCUGAAAAGGGAUCCGUAUCUUGAUUUGUGCUUAGAGAAAAAAGAGAUUCCAAAAAUGAAACAUGGUUGGUAAUUUUGAUGAUUCUAAAUGUUGCCAAGAAGAAUGUGAAUACAUGAUCUCUGCUGCAAUAAUUAUGGACAAGAAGCCUUUUUGAGUGAGGUCUAUUCAGACAAACAUCACAAAUUCCCUGACCAUCAGGAGAUGGAAUACACGCUACUAAUCUCCUGGACAACACCUCACUCACUGGGUUAGAAGUAUGGUCUUGAUGUAUCAGUUUCCUUACUCUUACCCCUCCCUUGCCUAUGCCCUUAUGUCACUAAUUUCUGAAUACACCUGUACUUUGUAAAUAUGGGUAUGUAUGUGUGUUUUUCCUAAAUGUAUCUGCAUUUGUGUAGUUCAAGAAUGUCACUAAGGUUUAAUGGCCCAGUUGAACAGUCUCUAGCCUUGCUGCUUGUCCUUAUCCCUGCAGAAAGCAAAGGAAAUAAAUGCACAAAUUUAAAAAUUGUCU
Long non-coding RNA from Cuculus canorus (common cuckoo), 4973 nucleotides. RefSeq lists it as uncharacterized. The record is from RefSeq and is a predicted model, not a curated record. The transcript is spliced from 5 exons. Lineage: Eukaryota; Metazoa; Chordata; Aves; Cuculiformes; Cuculidae.